Molecule: ribosomal RNA, 497 nt
Filed under: uncultured Glomeromycotina
Lineage: Eukaryota; Fungi; Glomeromycota
Description: partial small subunit ribosomal RNA
Rfam family: Eukaryotic small subunit ribosomal RNA
Source: RNAcentral
CCAAUAGCGUAUAUUAAAGUUGUUGCAGUUAAAAAGCUCGUAGUUGAAUUUCAGGCCUGGCUGGACGGUCCGCCCUUCGGGUGAGUACUGUCUGUAGUCGGGUCCUACCUUCUGGCGAAGCGUCAUGGCCUUAACCGGCCGUGGCGGGGAACCAGGACUUUUACUGUGAAAAAAUUAGAGUGUUCAAAGCAGGCAAUCGCUUGGAUACAUUAGCAUGGAAUAAUGGAAUAGGACAAUGGUUCUAUUUGUUGGUUUCUAGGACCGUUGUAAUGAUUAAUAGGGAUAGUUGGGGGCAUUAGUAUUCAAUUGUCAGAGGUGAAAUUCUUGGAUUUAUUGAAGACUAACUACUGCGAAAGCAUUUGCCAAGGAUGUUUUCAUUAAUCAAGAACGAAAGUUAGGGGAUCGAAGACGAUCAGAUACCGUCGUAGUCUUAACCAUAAACUAUGCCGACUAGGAAUCGGGCGAUGUUAUUCUCAUGACUCGCCCGGCGCCUUAUG